This 402-nucleotide ribosomal RNA is filed under the name uncultured bacterium. Its description in RNAcentral is "bacterial SSU rRNA". It matches the Rfam family "Bacterial small subunit ribosomal RNA", at positions 355 to 774 of the family's 1533-position model. The record is from RNAcentral.
UGGGGAAUAUUGGACAAUGGGGGAAACCCUGAUCCAGCAAUGCCGCGUGAGUGAAGAAGGCCUUAGGGUUGUAAAGCUCUUUCGCCCGCGAAGAUAAUGACGGUAGCGGGAGAAGAAGCCCCGGCUAACUCCGUGCCAGCAGCCGCGGUAAUACGUAGGCAGCAAGCGUUGUUCGGAGUUACUGGGCGUAAAGAGUGCGUAGGCGGUUUUCUAAGUUCGGUGUGAAAUCUCCCGGCUUAACUGGGAGGGUGCGCCGAAGACUGGGAAGCUGGAGUGUGGGAAAGGCAGGCGGAAUUCCUGGUGUAGCGGUGAAAUGCGUAGAUAUCAGGAGGAACACCGGCGGUGUAGACGGCUUGCUAAACCAUAACUGACGCUGAGGCACGAAAGCGUGGGUAGCAAGCA